GGCGCUAUUUACGCUAAAAUACGAAAUAUAGUAAUACUAUUAAAUGGCAGUGAGGCAGUGUUGACGUUUCUAGCGCAAAAGCGACUACCUGAACGCGCCUUUAGUCGGUGUAUACUUUACAAGAGAGCAUAGCCAUGCUACGCACAGCGGAUGAGCCUCUGUGGGAUGCAAUCCAAAAUCUGCUGCCAUCGAAGGAACAAUCCUGUGUACCGAAGUAGCGUUGCAAAAGUGUUGCUAGGCAGCUAUAGCGGAUUUAGGUGUCAACAGUAGUUGUAUUAUCAACCUGUAAAAUUAUGACAAGCAGAUAUCAACUUUUUUUCAUGGAUUUAUUCAUUUAUAUGGCUAUAUCUGUAUGUAUAAUAAAAACCAAUUGAGAGUUCAACAAUUUCA
This is a long non-coding RNA of Venturia canescens, 390 nucleotides long. RefSeq lists it as uncharacterized. NCBI's taxonomy places the organism in Eukaryota, Metazoa, Arthropoda, Insecta, Hymenoptera, Ichneumonidae. The record is from RefSeq and is a predicted model, not a curated record. The transcript is spliced from 2 exons.